Molecule: ribosomal RNA, 253 nt
Filed under: uncultured bacterium
Lineage: Bacteria
Description: partial 16S ribosomal RNA
Rfam family: Bacterial small subunit ribosomal RNA
Source: RNAcentral
UACGUAGGGGGCUAGCGUUGUCCGGAAUCAUUGGGCGUAAAGCGCGUGUAGGCGGUCCGGUAAGUCCGCUGUGAAAGUCGGGGGCUCAACCCUCGGAUGCCGGUGGACACUGUCGGGCUUGAGUACGGAAGAGGCGAGUUGAAUUCCUGGUGUAGCGGUGAAAUGCGCAGAUAUCAGGAGGAACACCAAUUGCGAAGGCAGCUCGCUGGGACGUUACUGACGCUGAGACGCGAAAGCGUGGGGAGCAAACAGG